RNAcentral lists this ribosomal RNA (510 nucleotides) under uncultured bacterium. RNAcentral describes it as "partial 16S ribosomal RNA". It matches the Rfam family "Bacterial small subunit ribosomal RNA", at positions 28 to 507 of the family's 1533-position model. The record is from RNAcentral.
GACGAACGCUGGCGGCGUGCUUAACACAUGCAAGUCGAACGAAGAGCGAUGGAAGCUUGCUUCUAUCAAUCUUAGUGGCGAACGGGUGAGUAACGCGUAAUCAACCUGCCCUUCAGAGGGGGACAACAGUUGGAAACGACUGCUAAUACCGCAUACGAUCUAAUCUCGGCAUCGAGGAUAGAUGAAAGGUGGCCUCUACAUGUAAGCUAUCACUGAAGGAGGGGAUUGCGUCUGAUUAGCUAGUUGGAGGGGUAACGGCCCACCAAGGCGAUGAUCAGUAGCCGGUCUGAGAGGAUGAACGGCCACAUUGGGACGGAGACACGGCCCAGACUCCUACGGGAGGCAGCAGUGGGGAAUCUUCCGCAAUGGACGAAAGUCUGACGGAGCAACGCCGCGUGAGGGAUGACGGCCUUCGGGUUGUAAAGCUCUGUUAAUCGGGACGAAAGGCCUUCUUGCGAAUAGGGAGAAGGAUUGACGGUACCGGAAGAGAAAGCCACGGCUAACUACGUG